UACCGUUGAAGAUUAUAGUCCCACAAUUGCGUUGUGUUUUCUGCGUGAAAAUAAAAACAACAACAUUGCUUUAUUUUCUACGGAGCGCUGUUUGAAGAGAGGGUCAGCGCGCACCAAGGAGAUAUUUAUACUUGUUUUGAUUUAUGCAGCGUCAUUUCGCGUUUUUGCACUUGUGAAAACGUCCCACCUUCUACGUGCACCUCACAGUCAAAAUAGCGCCUUCGUCUUCAAGUGAGCGCUCGUCACCCUCCAGCUUUCCCGACGACUCGCCGAGGGAGCUUCUGACGAAUUUCACUAGCAAAUGGCUGUAUAAGCCUGCGGUGGCCGCUCGAAUAAUGAAAUGGCCGUCACAGGAGGUACGGAAGGUUCACAAAUCAAAACUAAAUUCGAAACGCGCGCCGAACCGGACUAUUUCGCGGAGCAGUACAUGUGCAGUAGCUCCGCCCCCGUAGCCUUCCCUUGUCCUUGGGGGCGCUUUAGUUGUUUGACGGGUGCGCGCGGUUUGUGUGUGUGUGCCAUGAUGUGUUCUACAAUGCUUCGUUACCACGUUUAUCGAUUAUGCACGUUGGUUACGUGAUUCAAUAUCAAGUGUACCUUCCAAGACGAUCUAUGUCCUAGUCUCGUGACUGACGGCGAGUGCGGACGUACAGCAGCCUUUUGACAAGACUGUCGCCGAGUGGAGUGUACGGUACAUUGUGGACUGUAAAGCUGAAGAGUGCACAGUGGAUGCCUGAUUUUGGAACCGAGUGUGAUCGUCUGGGCAGUGUGUUCACUCUGCGGGGAUGAUGGCCAGAGGAAGGAUGAUAGACAGACGACAGCUUGCAGAAGAAGAUGGGAGCGUUCUACCUGUGAGCCUGGUCGAGUUUAUAUUUUAUGGAUACACAUGCAUGGAUACACCAUACAUGGAUUCCCUACAAGGACCCUGCGCAUCAAAAGCAAUCUGUCAUCAAUGUUAAGUAGACAGAUUAAAUGAAACGAAGAUAUGACAGGUGUACACCAUAUUUUUCUUUCAUUUAACCUCUGCAUGUUUCCCAGUCAAUAAAUGUUUUUAUCCAUUUUC
Rhipicephalus sanguineus (brown dog tick) is the source of this 1060-nucleotide long non-coding RNA. RefSeq lists it as uncharacterized. The record is from RefSeq and is a predicted model, not a curated record. The transcript has 4 exons. NCBI's taxonomy places the organism in Eukaryota, Metazoa, Arthropoda, Arachnida, Ixodida, Ixodidae.